GCGCAAGGCUGGACGACGAGGAGCCAUCAUCUUUUGUGGCUGUCGCGCCGAGGAAAGUUAGGUCGCCAUAGCAGCCUUGAAAUGAGUUACGCGCUCACGGAUGGAUAGGGCCGGGGGCGGGGGAGUGACGAGGGGGACCGGAAAACAUUAAGUGUCCUCGGGUACUUGCGGGAGAUGCUUUCCUGGCUUUUGCACACGGAGGGCGAGGCAAAGUUUGGAGGCAGAUGACGCGCCGGGCGCUCCCCUCCUUCCGCGGCUCGCCCAGCCCCCGGGUAACCGGGCGGAGACUGCGCACGUCCGCGUGUGGGGCGGGGGAGGUGGCAGAAGCGGAGGAAAGAGGACGGAGGGGACGAGCUCCGGGAGGAAAAUGAGGCUGUGGCGUGUGGGAGCCCGGAGCGCAAAAUAGGCUGAUCUUUUCAUUCAGGAGGCGUCUCCGUGGAGACUGAGGAGGUGCUAGGAGUCCCCUGGGGUGCUGUCAGCGCCGCUUGCUGAGUUUCUGCGGAAGAGUGAAAUACGAGACCCCAAAGCCCCCGCCCCACCCCCGACUCCAAGAAGGGCCAUUUCAGGGACGCCACUCGGGAAACCCCGGUGCCUUUGAAGGACUGCAGACAUCCUAUGCGCUGACAAAACUCAUCUCAUCCUUCGGUCCGUUCUCCGGCAGGGACCGCCUGCCAGGGGGUUGCGACCGGGAGCCACCGGCGAGGAGGCAGCCGGCGGGGUUGAAAUGCCACACUUGCAUUUGCAACAGCCUAGUUUGCGAGGCUUUUUCAAUGCAAAUGUGAAGUACUCCAUCUGCGUUCCGGCUUCUCUGCUCCUAUUUAUAGCGUGGCUUCUGGAGAAAGUCUGCUCCAUGUUGAAAAAAGCAAAACCCUGAUAAACAAACAUUUGGAACACAGACACUUUAAAUUGUCGUAUAGCCUCUGGAAAUGCCACUUAGUUACCACAACAAACAUUUCUUGUGCAUUCCAUGCUAGGCUUGGGAACACUGGCAGCGCCUUCAUAAACGGCAUCACUGCUGUUUGUGCUAUGGGGUGCCUCUUCCAUGUGCCCCGACAGGGCCAGGCGUGCCAUCGCAUCAGAUAGAAUAUGAUUACCUCUUUAAUUCUCUUUCCUUCUGCUUAAACCAAACAGGAGGUCUCACUUGGGAGCUAAUAGAUCUUUAACACCUUUCUAAUACUUCUUUGUCACUAUUGUUAGGGUUACCGGCAAAAGUAUAGAGCUUCAGGCAGUUUUCCGGCUAGAACUGAUUUCCUUUGCUUUGUUUUUAUUGCAUUUAUUUUUAUCUUUAACUUCUGUUUUUGGCCACUGAUACCGAUUUUUUUCCCUUAUGUUGUGAUUGUGUAUUUUAAAAAUAAAUUAGAGCCAGAAAUAAAAGAUCUAUUUAAA
This 1386-nucleotide long non-coding RNA is filed under the name Oryctolagus cuniculus (rabbit). Its description in RNAcentral is "lncRNA (ENSOCUG00000037497.1)". Lineage: Eukaryota; Metazoa; Chordata; Mammalia; Lagomorpha; Leporidae. The record is from RNAcentral.